GACGAACGCUGGGGGCGUGCUUAACACAUGCAAGUCGAACGAUGAGGCACCAGCUUGCUGGUGUGGAUUAGUGGCGAACGGGUGAGUAACACGUGAGUAACCUGCCCCUCACUCUGGGAUAAGCCUGGGAAACUGGGUCUAAUACUGGAUACGACCGAUCUCCGCAUGGAGUGUUGGUGGAAAGUUUUUGUGGUGGGGGAUGGACUCGCGGCCUAUCAGCUUGUUGGUGGGGUAGUGGCCUACCAAGGCGACGACGGGUAGCCGGCCUGAGAGGGCGACCGGCCACACUGGGACUGAGACACGGCCCAGACUCCUACGGGAGGCAGCAGUGGGGAAUAUUGCACAAUGGGCGAAAGCCUGAUGCAGCGACGCCGCGUGAGGGAUGACGGCCUUCGGGUUGUAAACCUCUUUCACCAGGGACGAAGCUAACGUGACGGUACCUGGAGAAGAAGCACCGGCUAACUACGUG
Molecule: ribosomal RNA, 469 nt
Filed under: uncultured bacterium
Lineage: Bacteria
Description: partial 16S ribosomal RNA
Rfam family: Bacterial small subunit ribosomal RNA
Source: RNAcentral